This 112-nucleotide ribosomal RNA is filed under the name Lepisosteus oculatus (spotted gar). The record is from RNAcentral. Lineage: Eukaryota; Metazoa; Chordata; Actinopteri; Semionotiformes; Lepisosteidae.
GCCAGCAGCCAUAUCACCCUGCACCUGGCAGCCCACAGCAGCUCAGCAGGUGUGAGCCGGGCCAGUACCUGGAUGAGAGACCUCCUGGGAAAAACUAAGGUUGCUGCUGGAA